AGUGAACGCUGGCGGUAGGCCUAACACAUGCAAGUCGAACGGCAGCACAGGAGAGCUUGCUCUCUGGGUGGCGAGUGGCGGACGGGUGAGGAAUACAUCGGAAUCUACUCUGUCGUGGGGGAUAACGUAGGGAAACUUACGCUAAUACCGCAUACGACCUACGGGUGAAAGCAGGGGACCUUCGGGCCUUGCGCGAUUGAAUGAGCCGAUGUCGGAUUAGCUAGUUGGCGGGGUAAAGGCCCACCAAGGCGACGAUCCGUAGCUGGUCUGAGAGGAUGAUCAGCCACACUGGAACUGAGACACGGUCCAGACUCCUACGGGAGGCAGCAGGUGGGAAUAUUGGACAAUGGGCGCAAGCCUGAUCCAGCCAUACCGCGUGGGUGAAGAAGGCCUUCGGGUUGUAAAGCCCUUUUGUUGGGAAAGAAAUCCAGCUGGCUAAUACCCGGUUGGGAUGACGGUACCCAAAGAAUAAGCACCGGCUAACUUCGUGCCAGCCGCCGCCGUAA
Molecule: ribosomal RNA, 506 nt
Filed under: uncultured bacterium
Lineage: Bacteria
Description: partial 16S ribosomal RNA
Rfam family: Bacterial small subunit ribosomal RNA
Source: RNAcentral